RNAcentral lists this ribosomal RNA (404 nucleotides) under uncultured Coriobacteriaceae bacterium. RNAcentral's name for it is "bacterial SSU rRNA". It matches the Rfam family "Bacterial small subunit ribosomal RNA", at positions 355 to 776 of the family's 1533-position model. Lineage: Bacteria; Bacillati; Actinomycetota; Coriobacteriia; Coriobacteriales; Coriobacteriaceae. The record is from RNAcentral.
UGGGGAAUUUUGCGCAAUGGGCGAAAGCCUGACGCAGCAACGCCGCGUGCGGGAUGAAGGCCUUCGGGUUGUAAACCGCUUUCAGCAGGGACGAACGUGACGGUACCUGCAGAAGAAGCCCCGGCUAACUACGUGCCAGCAGCCGCGGUAAUACGUAGGGGGCAAGCGUUAUCCGGAUUCAUUGGGCGUAAAGCGCGCGUAGGCGGCUUGUUAAGCGAGAUGUGAAAACCGGGGGCUCAACCCGCGGCCUGCAUCUCGAACUGGCAGGCUUGAGUCUGGUAGAGGAAAGUGGAAUUCCUGGUGUAGCGGUGAAAUGCGCAGAUAUCAGGAGGAACACCAGUGGCGAAGGCGGCUUUCUGGGCCACGACUGACGCUGAGGCGCGAAAGCUAGGGGAGCAAACAGG